Folsomia candida is the source of this 713-nucleotide long non-coding RNA. RefSeq lists it as uncharacterized. NCBI's taxonomy places the organism in Eukaryota, Metazoa, Arthropoda, Collembola, Entomobryomorpha, Isotomidae. The record is from RefSeq and is a predicted model, not a curated record. The transcript has 2 exons.
GUCUUGUUGGUAAAAUUUCUUUACUGGUUAAUAAUUCAGUUUUGGUUCAAUAGUAAUGAAGUAAAGAGUCAUUGUUAUUUGCGAAUUAUCAUCGUUAUUUUUAGUGCUUUAAAAAACAUGGGUAAAAUUGUGUAUCUCAUUUUUGUGGGGGUUGUGAUCUUUGGAAUAUUUGCAUCAACCAACGGACAAAACGUCACCACCACGGCAAGACCCAGGACACCUUCGGCCCCCCGACAGGUCAAACCGUGUAUAAAACAUCCCCCAGAUUUCCAGCAAAUCAGCCUCCCAUGCGCCGGAAGGACGCGAGAGGAAUGCCUCUCCGAAUGCAAAGGACUUGGUCAUACUCGAGCGUACUGCAAAAAAGAACACUUUUGUCUCUGCCAUUCCGGUGACUUGUACAGUUGUUAAAAUAAUCAGGCAAAAAAAAUCGUGCAAAUUUUAUGGUACAUACAUACAUAUUACAUUUUAUUGUAAUAUACUUAAAGUAGCUGUCGCUUAUCUUUUGUACUUAUAUAUUUUCAGUACAUGUAAAAUUUUCUAUACACACAAAUUAUAUUUACAAUGGCACAAACUUAAUAAUAAUAUAACGAAUAAUAUAAUAAUACUAAAUAGUAUGUUAGAAGAGAAAACAACAUAUUUUUUCCCUACGUAAUGUAACCUUACACUGAAAAACUUAUCAAUUAACAAGAAAUAAAAUAGUGGUGCAAAAUAUA